UGACGAGACCAGAGUGCGUGGCAAUU
RNAcentral lists this non-coding RNA (26 nucleotides) under Mus musculus (house mouse). The record is from RNAcentral. Lineage: Eukaryota; Metazoa; Chordata; Mammalia; Rodentia; Muridae.